CCCUUAGAUGUUCUGGGCCGCACGCGUGCUACACUGAGUGGAUCAGCGGGUCAGGUUGCGCGAAAGCGUUUCCUAAUCUUUAAAUCCGCUCGUGAUGGGGAUUGACGGUUGCAAUUUUCUGUCAUGAACGAGGAAUACCUUGUAAGCGCGGGUCAUCAUCCCGCGCUGAAUACGUCCCUGCCCUUUGUACACACCGCCCGUCGCUCCUACCGAUUGAGUGGUCCGGUGAACAAUUUGGACUGCUUUGAUUCGAUUAGAAUUUGAAGCGGAAAGUUUAGUGAACCUUAUCACUUAGAGGAAGGAGAAGUCGUAACA
This 315-nucleotide ribosomal RNA is filed under the name uncultured eukaryote. RNAcentral describes it as "partial 18S ribosomal RNA". It matches the Rfam family "Eukaryotic small subunit ribosomal RNA", at positions 1470 to 1796 of the family's 1831-position model. The record is from RNAcentral.